CGAGGUAUAGCUAAAAAGUUUAGUGUUUCACUUACGUUGAAAAGAUUAAUCGUGCAAAUCGAUUUACCUUGA
RNAcentral lists this transfer RNA (72 nucleotides) under Dotilla wichmanni. RNAcentral's name for it is "tRNA-Val". It matches the Rfam family "tRNA". Rfam says of the family: Transfer RNA (tRNA) molecules are approximately 80 nucleotides in length. Their secondary structure includes four short double-helical elements and three loops (D, anti-codon, and T loops). Lineage: Eukaryota; Metazoa; Arthropoda; Malacostraca; Decapoda; Dotillidae. The record is from RNAcentral.